UGGAACGUUUAUGAUAAAGUGUUUCACUUUUUGACUACAGUUAGGUGCGUUCAGGCAGCUAAAGCAAUGCAAGAUUGUCCGAAUUCACUUCAGUCCGACGACCGUAGUCAAACAGUGUUGACAUCAUGGGAAAAGCAGUGCUCACGUCGAUUGUUCUGCUUGGAGCCAUACUUGGCUGCCGGGCUCAAGCCGAGACCGUAGUUCGGGACGUAGGAUUCGGUGAAUAUCCUUCGGUAGUGUUUGUCAGUACUCCGCGCGAUCAGCGAUGCAUGGGCACGGUGAUCAACGCCAACCACGUCUUGACGUCCGGUACCUGCGUCAUGACCGAUGGACAGGCUAGAAUUUAUCCGGCCCGUUUAGUGCAAGUCGUUGGAGGAGAUCUGUCCGUUACCAAUCCGGUCGUCACUCAGCAGACCCGCGUGGCGCAGCACAUUUUCGUGCAUGAAAACUUCCGCCCUCGUUCAAACGAUAACAAUGUGGCUAUUAUACGUCUUGCCGAGCCCUUUCACCUGCCGAGCAACGCCAUUGAGGAGGCUCACAUUCGGAUGAGCAUCGUACCGCAAGGGCAUCAGUGUGAUGUUGUGAGAGCGGCUUUAACGGGCAACCCCGUUCUGCAGGCCUACAAUGUGCAGAUUCGCAACCGAAAUAUUUGCGAUAGUUGUUGUAACCAAUUAUUUCGCGAUGAAAGUAACAUAUGCACUGAGGAAAUCACCAUCAUUGAUAAUUUGUUGCAAGGCGAUCCAAUGUUUUGUGACAGAGAGUUGACGGCUAUCGCGGCCACCGUUGUUUCCACUGGUCAAAUACGACGCUUUCAUUUUAACCAAGUACGGUUUUUCACGCACUGGAUACAACAGCAGCUAAUACGUACGCAACCGAUGCCGGAAGGAUGGAGUCCAAAUGGCGUGCAAAUAACGAUGAAUAAUGAAUAACAAUAAAAAAAUACGAAAAACAAUAAAUUUAAUCUGAGGUGCACCCUAGUUGUUGAAAUAGUAUUUAAGAGGGAAGCAUGUUUUGUGUAGGAAACGGUUUCGUCUGACCUUUCAGCAGACGCUCAUCUUAACUUAUCUGAACUAGGGUAUGGUUCCUUGACCACAAGAGUUUUAAUUUAUGACUAGCAAUCAAAAGGCACUUUGCUCGCCAUCGGCAAACUUUCGUACAGCCGUAAACUCUAUGAUAAGCAGUUUCCCAUCUAUCGAUGUUAUUAAUCCAAAUGCGAAUUACUACCAAAUCCAUUCUACUACUAAUAAUCAUUCAGUUUGCAGCAACUACUCAUACAGUGUCGAUGUCAUGGGAAAAGCAAUGCUCUCGUCGAUUGUUCUGCUUGGAGCCAUGCCUGGCUACCGGGGUCAAGCCGAGACCGUAGUUCGGAACGUUGUUUUUGAGAAUAUCCUUCGGUAGUGUUUGGGCACGGGUUUUUUCACUAACUUCAGAAAAACCUACCUAAUUUAUAAAUUGAUAUAAUAGCAGUGAGUAAUAACCGUUGCUAUCCAUGGCAGGUCAACCCGCAAACUAAUGGUAACAAUAUUUGUUAAUCUUCCUUUUUUUGGUAUCUGGUGCAGACAUAUUAUCAAGCAGUCUUGCUACAGUGUUUAGUCGUUUUAUUAGCAUUAACGAGACAGCAGACCACAUGACCACAAAAGCAUAAACUUGGAGAAAGCAAUUAAAAAAAGCGCUUAAUGUUAGGCUCGAUACGAACUCAAACAGCAUACAUUUUGUGCUAUCACUACGUCAUCCACCACGAUUUAGUCACAGCGAAAUGUGUGCAUUUAGCACAGAGAGUAGCACCAACGAGACUUUUGCGAUAAUUAUAGAGCCCUGCAACAAUCUGUCGUUGCGCAUUGCUUCAGUAGCUCGAAGGACCUACGGGACCUCCAAACAUACCGGAUAAAGAUACUUCAGAACAGAUUGAAUCACAAAAUAGUUAAACUGGGAAUCAGUUGAGGAUUAAAAGGCUGUGUGUGACACUAGAAAGCUGCUUUUGUGCCGUACCAAGUGUUCCGUUUACACUUUACACUUACCAUUUUAACCUACAUGAUAAGUAAAACAAAGCAAACACUGUGAACUUUAAAUCAUAACGAUAUCUGUUUUAACUUGAAUGCCAUGUCUAUGAUAAGCAGUUUCCCAGCUAUAGAUUUUAUCGAACCGAAAGCUAUCUGUUACCAAACUUCCCCUUCAGUUUGCUGUAACUAGCCAUACAGUGUAGACAUCAUUAUGAAGACUGCGUGCGUUACAAUAGUGCUCCUCGGCACCAUUGUUAGUAGUUUGGCCCAAACCGUCGUUCGGAACGUAGGAUUUGGUGAAUAUCCUUCGGUAGUGUUUGUCAGUACUCCACGCGAUCAGCGAUGCAUUGGCACGGUGAUCAACGCCAACCACGUCCUGACGUCCGGUACCUGCGUCAUGACCGACGGGGCGGCUAACAUUUAUCCGGCCCCUUUAGUGCAAGUCGUUGGAGGAGAUCUGUCCGUUCCCAAUCCGGUCGUCACUCAGCAGACCCGCGUGGCGCAGCACAUUUUCGUGCAUGAAAACUUCCGCCCUCGUUCAAACGAUAACAAUGUGGCUAUUAUACGUCUAGCCGAGCCCUUUCACCUGCCGAGCAACGCCAUUGAGGAGGUACACAUUCGGAUGCGCAUCGCACCGCAAGGGCAUCAGUGUGAUGUUGUGAGAACGACUUUAACUGGCAGCACCGUUCUGCAAGCGUAUAAUAUACAGAUUCGCAAUCGAAAUCUUUGCGAUGAUUGUUGUUUCCUGUGGAUUCGAGAUGAAAGUGACAUUUGCACUGAGGAAAUCACCAUCAGUGACAGCCUGUUGCAAGGUGAUUCGAUGUUCUGCGACGGAGAGUUGACGGCAAUCGCAGCCCAUACUGCUAGUGAUGGUCAAAUAAGACGCUUUCAUUUCAACCAAGUACGGUUUUUCACGCACUGGAUACAGCAACAGCUCAUUCGUACGCAACCGAUGCCGGAAGGAUGGAAUCCGAACGAUUAUUGAGGGAAGAAACACAUGUAACAGACGGUACCUUUCAAUUACAACAUUUGUUUUUCAAGUGAUUUGUAAUAAAUGCCCAGCCUAGCUAACAUUAAA
RNA transcript from Anopheles merus, 3078 nucleotides. It is a transcript of the gene named chymotrypsin BI-like, with no coding region annotated. The transcript is spliced from 3 exons. The record is from RefSeq and is a predicted model, not a curated record. Lineage: Eukaryota; Metazoa; Arthropoda; Insecta; Diptera; Culicidae.